This 939-nucleotide ribosomal RNA is filed under the name Hypomyces sp. RNAcentral describes it as "partial 28S ribosomal RNA". It matches the Rfam family "Eukaryotic large subunit ribosomal RNA", at positions 49 to 1025 of the family's 3401-position model. The record is from RNAcentral. Lineage: Eukaryota; Fungi; Ascomycota; Sordariomycetes; Hypocreales; Hypocreaceae.
AACGGGGUAGAACACAGGGAUUGCCCCAGUAACGGCGAGUGAAGCGGCAACAGCUCAAAUUUGAAAUCUGGCCCCUUGGGGUCCGAGUUGUAAUUUGUAGAGGAUGCUUUUGAUGAGGCGCCGCCUGAGUUCCCUGGAACGGGACGCCAUAGAGGGUGAGAGCCCCGUCUGGCUGGCCGCCGAGUCUCUGUAAAGCUCCUUCGACGAGUCGAGUAGUUUGGGAAUGCUGCUCAAAAUGGGAGGUAUAUGUCUUCUAAAGCUAAAUACCGGCCAGAGACCGAUAGCGCACAAGUAGAGUGAUCGAAAGAUGAAAAGCACUUUGAAAAGAGGGUUAAAUAGUACGUGAAAUUGUUGAAAGGGAAGCACUUGUGACCAGACUUGGGCUUGGCGAAUCAUCCGGCGUUCUCGCCGGUGCACUUUGCCUCGUCCAGGCCAGCAUCAGUUCGUCGCGGGGGACAAAGGCUUCGGGAACGUGGCUCCUCCGGGAGUGUUAUAGCCCGCUGCGUAAUACCCUGCGGUGGACUGAGGUUCGCGCAUCUGCAAGGAUGCUGGCGUAAUGGUCAUCAGUGACCCGUCUUGAAACACGGACCAAGGAGUCGUCUUCGUAUGCGAGUGUUCGGGUGUCAAACCCCUACGCGUAAUGAAAGUGAACGCAGGUGAGAGCUUCGGCGCAUCAUCGACCGAUCCUGAUGUUCUCGGAUGGAUUUGAGUAAGAGCAUACGGGGCCGGACCCGAAAGAAGGUGAACUAUGCCUGUAUAGGGUGAAGCCAGAGGAAACUCUGGUGGAGGCUCGCAGCGGUUCUGACGUGCAAAUCGAUCGUCAAAUAUGGGCAUGGGGGCGAAAGACUAAUCGAACCUUCUAGUAGCUGGUUUCCGCCGAAGUUUCCCUCAGGAUAGCAGUGUUGAUCUCAGUUUUAUGAGGUAAAGCGAAUGAUUAGG